This 221-nucleotide long non-coding RNA is filed under the name Theobroma cacao (cacao). Its description in RNAcentral is "long non-coding RNA (TCAC_LNC000348)". Lineage: Eukaryota; Viridiplantae; Streptophyta; Magnoliopsida; Malvales; Malvaceae. The record is from RNAcentral.
UUCAUUCAAACCCUUGGUCGUUUAGUCACUUGAUGAUGAAAGACUCAUGAACAACAAAGAAGUUGAGAAGUGAAAACUUUAGUAGAAUUCAAGCAAGUCAAGCAUAAUAGAUUGACUCUCACCGCAGCGAAAAGGCAUUCUCACUGCAACAAAAUUCUGGCCAGAUAAAAUCUAAGGGGAUUUCACUACCAUCACAUGGGCAAUAUCACCAUCCAUCUCCC